UCCUCUUAUUCUGUAAAUAACGUACUAAACAUCAAUAAAAACCUUGUUCUUAUCAGCUUAAUAUCUGAUACGAGCCGUAUUUGGACUCACGAUAUUAAUCUCAUUUUUGGCCCGAGACAGUGUGCAUGAAACUCGUCUCGGCACUGUCAGGGCUUGCCCUGGUAUUGCACUACCUCCAGGUGCAGCCCACCCGUC
Ornithodoros turicata is the source of this 195-nucleotide small nuclear RNA. RefSeq annotates it as U2 spliceosomal RNA. The record is from RefSeq and is a predicted model, not a curated record. The transcript has a single exon. Lineage: Eukaryota; Metazoa; Arthropoda; Arachnida; Ixodida; Argasidae.